GAGAGGGGGUGGCACAAGGCAGUGAGAUCACACUAGCAGCUGGGACUCAGGGUGGGAAGAUGCCUGGGAAGUCAGAAGGCAGUUAAGACCUCCACAACCUACACAUUUGCAGACACUAGUUUAAGCUACUGACUCCUUUAGUCUUGAACUCUCCUAAAGGUGGGGGAUCUUAACUGCAUUUGCAAUUACCAGAAAAGGUAAAUAAAUGGUAAACCGCUGAAUCCACUGGCAAUCCAAAUUGCGAGAUUUAAAGCUGGGCUGGGAAUUUGAGAAAAAUAGAGUUGGUAAAUUAGCUACUUGGUACAACUUCUACAGAUGUUUUUUUGUGAGCUCUGAGUUUCUGGAAAAGCUAAAGUUCCCUGCAGUCUCCACCUACUUCCAAAGCAGUCACCAUGGCUCGCUGUCAGCCAAGUUUCCUGCCAACAGUCCCUGUGUGGGGGAAGGAAAGAAUCAAAGAAGGACAACUGGACAAAGUAAUCUACAGACAGCUUACAACAGUGCUGCACACGAUUAAUCUGACUUCACAGUGAGACGCUGAGAAAGGUGAAGUAAGUGGACUGAGAGCCACAGCUCCCAAGGGCAGUGCUUGGAUAGGAACUCAGAUCUUUACCUUCAAAGAAGAUCUUUGCUUCCUCUUCGCCUUCUGCCAUGAUUGUG
RNAcentral lists this long non-coding RNA (657 nucleotides) under Homo sapiens (human). RNAcentral's name for it is "HSALNT0310727". Lineage: Eukaryota; Metazoa; Chordata; Mammalia; Primates; Hominidae. The record is from RNAcentral.